RNAcentral lists this ribosomal RNA (468 nucleotides) under uncultured bacterium. RNAcentral describes it as "partial 16S ribosomal RNA". It matches the Rfam family "Bacterial small subunit ribosomal RNA", at positions 28 to 506 of the family's 1533-position model. The record is from RNAcentral.
GACGAACGCUGGCGGCGUGCUUAACACAUGCAAGUCGAACGGAAAGGCCCUGCUUUUGUGGGGUGCUCGAGUGGCGAACGGGUGAGUAACACGUGAGUAACCUGCCCUUGACUUUGGGAUAACUUCAGGAAACUGGGGCUAAUACCGGAUAGGAGCUCCUGCUGCAUGGUGGGGGGUUGGAAAGUUUCGGCGGUUGGGGAUGGACUCGCGGCUUAUCAGCUUGUUGGUGGGGUAGUGGCUUACCAAGGCUUUGACGGGUAGCCGGCCUGAGAGGGUGACCGGCCACAUUGGGACUGAGAUACGGCCCAGACUCCUACGGGAGGCAGCAGUGGGGAAUAUUGCACAAUGGGCGGAAGCCUGAUGCAGCAACGCCGCGUGCGGGAUGACGGCCUUCGGGUUGUAAACCGCUUUCGCCUGUGACGAAGCGUGAGUGACGGUAAUGGGUAAAGAAGCACCGGCUAACUACGU